CCAGCAGAAUAAUCUUUCUGUGGAUCAGACGCCAUGUUCUUUUUAACCUCAAUCUUUAAUUGUUGGAUGGUUUGUUUUGAUAUUGGUUGUCAGAUUUCGGAUUGCUACUAUUAUACUGUGAAAUUAAUUUGCAGUGGAAAAUUGAGGUAUAAAAUAUUUCUAUUGGUUUCUUUAUUCUUAUAAUUUUUACAAGAGAAAUUGAAAAUGGAUUUACAACAGAAAGGCGUGAAAUUUUCGAAGUUCAAAGUUUUGUACUUUCCAGACCUGCACAACGAAUUACCUAUUUGAAAAAUAGAAUAUGGUUAGAAAUUGCUGAUGUAAUAGAGGAUUCAAGUACCAUUUACAAACAAAAUAUUGAAGAGAAUGUGCUCAAAGGAAAUGCAUAUGAAUUCUUUUUUGUUGACCAGGAUGGAACAAUUCUUUGGAACCUAUACUUAGAAUAAGUUAGUUAGGCCUAGUGAUGUACCAGCCAGAAGUAGAGGAUGACAAAGAAAAUCAACUAUGGAUAAUAUUCCAUGGAUAUGAUUCAUGUAUGAUGUAGUAGCCUACAGAAGAAAGAGAUGGACUAAUCUAAGAAAUAUAUUCAUUUUUUCAGUACAG
This 600-nucleotide long non-coding RNA is filed under the name Nilaparvata lugens (brown planthopper). RNAcentral describes it as "uncharacterized LOC120353786". Lineage: Eukaryota; Metazoa; Arthropoda; Insecta; Hemiptera; Delphacidae. The record is from RNAcentral.